CGAAAUCUGCCAUUUUCAUGUAUAAUAAUUGAUCUUGGAAUUAUAAAUAAUCGUUGCUUCGUUCUCGAACGAAUAUUUCAAGUAAAAAAAAAAGUAACACCAAAUAAAAAUUUAUAAUGUCCGACAUAUCUCCGAAGUCCGCUAAAUUACUAUUAUACAAAUUUAUCAAAUCCUUAUCUAUUACAAUUAGGGAAAAGUUCACGCAACCCGUUCAACGGUCGUGCUCGUACUCCAAGAAAGUCCGGUACAUCAUCAGGGAAGACUAUGGAUGUUAAUUGUUUUCCUACACCAAAGCCACGAGCUUAAACUGGGUUUUUCCUACACCAAAUUAAACAAAUAAGUAAAUAAAUAUAAUACUUAAAUAAUUAAAUAAAAUAAAAUAAAAGAAGAAGAAAGAUGGGAUAAGAAUGUUAGCAACUUGCUGCACAACUUGCUACCCACGCCACUUGCAUAAUUUUUUUUUAAGAUAAGCUCCACUUGCAUAUUUUUAUGUAUAUGUAUAUGUACAUGUAUAUCUGCAAAUCAUCACUCACACACAUCACCCUCAUAAAUCUUAAUUUUGCACACCCCAACCCACAAAGGGUAGAGGAGUUCCGAGGGGGGGGAGAUUGCACACUCAAACACUACAAUCCAACCACACCUUUAUUCCAAGGGUACGUUAUCAAGUAAAGUCGGAACGAAAGAUUCAAGUUAAGGAAUCUAAACGAUCAAGGUGAAAAUUACUUGAAAACGAGCUUGAAGAUGGAUUACAGAAGAAGUGCCCGACCGGGCGUUCAUGUACAAGAGAAACGCCCAGCUCGGGCGUUUGUGCAAAGAAGGAACGAAUCCAGAGAGUUUGCCCGACCGGGCGUUCUCCCUCGGAAGAAUCGCCCGACCGGGCGAUGUGAAGAAUCGGGGCCAUCGAGAGAUCGCCCGACCGGGCGUUUAGGCGACUUAAAAUCGCCCGGCCGGGCGAUGUGUUCUGCGAGAGUUAAUUGCUAUUAUUUCCGCCCCGGGUAUAAAAGGAGAGCUAGGUUUUCGUGCCCAAGGAGACCAGACACGCCCCCAAGAGCAGUUUUUCACAUUGGAGAGUAGAUUGAGGCGACGAAGAGUCCAAUUCAUCAACAAGGUUGAAGACGAACACGAUUUGCCCACUCAAUCCACCUUUGGGGGUAUCUUUAUUAGUUUUCUUAUGUUUAGUUCACUUCCCAUGGAUUUAUCUUGUGAAUUUGCAUUGAAUAUGAGUAGCUAAAUCUCUUGUAGAGUUUUGGUGAUGACUACAAUGAACGUUGUUGAUUAAUUCAAGGACUUUUGAUUA
Molecule: long non-coding RNA, 1297 nt
Organism: Salvia splendens (bonfire salvia)
Lineage: Eukaryota; Viridiplantae; Streptophyta; Magnoliopsida; Lamiales; Lamiaceae
Exons: 3
Source: RefSeq, a predicted model, not a curated record